AGAAGUUGGGCGGGGCUCGCGGAGUAUUGGCUUUGGACAAGGGCUUCCCAGUGCCAGGGAAUUCAUGUUGACUCUUUCAGUCCUGGAAAUGGAUGUUAUUGCUUAUCCCAGCUUCACAGAUGUGGAAACCGAAGGGCAGAAUGAUUAGGCUGGCGUUCCGAUGGGCCUAGCGGUCGAGAGCAGAGGCUUUAUGGACGGCCGGAUCUGAAGACAAGUCCUGGGUCUGCUACUGACGGUGGGACACUCUGAAUAGGUCAUUUUCCCCAUCCUGAGACUUCCUUUCCUCGUCUGUAAAGUGGGAAUGAUAAUAUGUUUCAUAGGAUCGCAGUGAGUAUUAAAUGAUGCACUUAAAGAACAGCACAAUGGCUGACAUAUGGUAAGAAUUCAAUAGCUGAGUCAGAUCUUGAUUCAAAUCCAAGCACUGCCACUUUCUAGCUGUGUGGCCUUGGACAAGUGACUUAACCUCUCUGAGUCUCAGUUUACUUCCUGUAAAGUACAAGGAUUGGACUAGAUGACCUUUAAGUCCCCUCCGAGUGUGAUAAUUAAGAGCAGUUUUUUCAAACGGCUGGUUGUGACCCAUUAAUGGAGUCUUAAAAUCCACUCAGAGGAUUGUGACCAGCAUUCAAAAAAUAAAACAAUAUAAUAAAAAAAUGAAGAAUGUGUCACACAU
Pteropus alecto (black flying fox) is the source of this 670-nucleotide long non-coding RNA. RefSeq lists it as uncharacterized. The transcript has 2 exons. The record is from RefSeq and is a predicted model, not a curated record. NCBI's taxonomy places the organism in Eukaryota, Metazoa, Chordata, Mammalia, Chiroptera, Pteropodidae.